Molecule: ribosomal RNA, 636 nt
Filed under: bacterium enrichment culture clone F10 1.694-35
Lineage: Bacteria
Description: bacterial SSU rRNA
Rfam family: Bacterial small subunit ribosomal RNA
Source: RNAcentral
AGAGUUUGAUCAUGGCUCAGGACGAACGCUGGCGGCGUGCCUAACACAUGCAAGUCGAGCGGGGAGAAGAAUUCGUUUUUCUCUUUAGCGGCGGACGGGUGAGUAACACGUGGGUAACCUGCCUCAAAGAGGGGGAUAGCCUUCCGAAAGGAAGAUUAAUACCGCAUAAUAUCAGGAAGCUGCGUGGCAUUCUGAUCAAAGGAGCAAUCCGCUUUGAGAUGGACCCGCGGCGCAUUAGCUAGUUGGUGAGGUAACGGCCCACCAAGGCGACGAUGCGUAGCCGACCUGAGAGGGUGAUCGGCCACAUUGGAACUGAGACACGGUCCAGACUCCUACGGGAGGCAGCAGUGGGGAAUAUUGCACAAUGGGGGAAACCCUGAUGCAGCAACGCCGCGUGAGUGAUGAAGGCCUUCGGGUCGUAAAGCUCUUUGAUCAGGGACGAUAAUGACGGUACCUGAAAAACAAGCCACGGCUAACUACGUGCCAGCAGCCGCGGUAAUACGUAGGUGGCGAGCGUUGUCCGGAUUUACUGGGCGUAAAGAAUGCGUAGGUGGAUAUUUAAGUGGGAUGUGAAAUCCCCGGGCUCAACCCGGGAACUGCAUACCAAACUGGAUAUCUGGAGUGCAGGAGAGGAAA